RNAcentral lists this ribosomal RNA (406 nucleotides) under uncultured bacterium. RNAcentral describes it as "partial 16S ribosomal RNA". It matches the Rfam family "Bacterial small subunit ribosomal RNA", at positions 30 to 526 of the family's 1533-position model. The record is from RNAcentral.
AUUGAACGCUGGCGGCAGGCCUAACACAUGCAAGUCGAGCGAGAGGCGGACGGGUGAGUAAUGUAUGGGCAUCUGCCCGGUGGAGAGGGAUAACUAAUGGAAACGGUGGCUAAUCCCGCAUACAAUCGGCUGGGCCCAGAUGGGAUUGGCUUGUGGGUGGGGUAAAGGCUCACCUAGGCGACGAUCCGUAGCUGGUCUGAGAGGAUGACCAGCCACACUGGAACUGAGACACGGUCCAGACUCCUACGGGAGGCAGCAGUGGGGAAUAUUGUACAAUGGGCGAAAGCCUGAUGCAGCCAUGCCGCGUGGUUGAAGAAGGUCUUCGGAUUGUAAAGGACUUUAAGUUGGGAGGCGUUACUAGCAGAAUAAGCACCGGCUAACUUCGUGCCAGCAGCCGCGGUAAUAC